Podarcis lilfordi (Lilford's wall lizard) is the source of this 90-nucleotide non-coding RNA. NCBI's taxonomy places the organism in Eukaryota, Metazoa, Chordata, Lepidosauria, Squamata, Lacertidae. The record is from the annotation of a GenBank genome assembly.
CAGGGUCCUAGAGCCCUUCCACCUCCUUCCCAAAGCUAGGUAAGCACUUACCAGGCUUUGAGAAGGAGGUGGAAGGACUCUAGGACCCUG